AUGGACCAGGAGCUGAUCGAGCACCUUGAGGCCAAAGUGAGUGCUGACAGCGCGAGAUCUCACCCUCUCAUUGAUUUGUUCAUACCAACCAUCGACAGCGAGCACGGCAUAUGCUACACCCAUCCUGAGAAACUUCCAGGUAUCACACUGAGUGGCCUAAGCAAGCUUUUCUUCCAGCACAACUCUAGGGCGUUCAAAAGGGGCACGUGGACGCGUCGCAAAAUACAGUCGGAUUGCGGCAUGCACGCGAUAUGGCACAAGACCGGCAAUACCUUGCCGGUGAUGGUCAACGGCCGGCAGACGGGCAGUAAAAAGGUUCCGGUGCUGCACACCAACAAAACUUCGACCAGCAGAGGACCAACUGGGUGA
Molecule: ribosomal RNA, 369 nt
Filed under: Triticum aestivum (bread wheat)
Lineage: Eukaryota; Viridiplantae; Streptophyta; Magnoliopsida; Poales; Poaceae
Description: partial small subunit ribosomal RNA
Source: RNAcentral